This 331-nucleotide ribosomal RNA is filed under the name uncultured Chaetoceros. RNAcentral's name for it is "partial Bacterial small subunit ribosomal RNA". It matches the Rfam family "Bacterial small subunit ribosomal RNA", at positions 1 to 361 of the family's 1533-position model. The record is from RNAcentral. Lineage: Eukaryota; Bacillariophyta; Thalassiosirophyceae; Chaetocerotales; Chaetocerotaceae.
AAAGAGAGUUUGAUCCUGGCUCAGGAUGAACGCUGGCGGUAUGCCUAACACAUGCAAGUCGUACGAGAGUUUUUAACUCAAGUGGCGGACGGGUGAGUAACACGUGAGAAUUUGCCUCUAGGAGGGGGACAACAACUGGAAACGGUUGCUAAUACCCCAUAUGCUUUCGAGUGAAAUGAUUUUUUCGCCUAGAGAGAAGCUCGCGGCUGAUUAGCUUGUUGGUGGGGUAAUAGCCUACCAAGGCGACGAUCAGUAUCUGGUUUGAGAGGACGAUCAGACACACUGGAACUGAGACACGGUCCAGACUCCUACGGGAGGCAGCAGCGGGGAA